Molecule: small nuclear RNA, 211 nt
Filed under: Strigamia maritima
Lineage: Eukaryota; Metazoa; Arthropoda; Chilopoda; Geophilomorpha; Linotaeniidae
Description: U2 spliceosomal RNA
Rfam family: U2 spliceosomal RNA
About the family: U2 is a small nuclear RNA (snRNA) component of the spliceosome (involved in pre-mRNA splicing). Complementary binding between U2 snRNA (in an area lying towards the 5' end but 3' to hairpin I) and the branchpoint sequence (BPS) of the intron results the bulging out of an unpaired adenosine, on the BPS, which initiates a nucleophilic attack at the intronic 5' splice site, thus starting the first of two transesterification reactions that mediate splicing.
Source: Rfam by way of RNAcentral
AUUUCUGUUUGUUUCAUUGUUUCACCUCGUAAGAGGAAGUUCAUUGUGCGAUAAAUCAAUCUGUUCUUAUCGGCUUAAUCUCCGGUACGUUACCUAUUGGUAACAUCGAGAUUAACUGAUUUUUGAAACCGGAUGGGUUUGCAGGGGCUUGCUCCUCGCCCAUCACGGGUCGGCCUGGUAUUGCACUGCCUCCAGGAUCGGCCCUUCCCCU